GGAAUAUUGGACAAUGGGGGCAACCCUGAUCCAGCCAUGCCGCGUGUGUGAAGCAGGCCUUCGGGUUGUAAAGCACUUUCAGAGGCGAGGAAAGGGCGCUGGCUAAUAUCCAGCGCAGUUGACGUUAGCCCCAGAAGAAGCACCGGCUAACUCCGUGCCAGCAGCCGCGGUAAUACGGAGGGUGCACGCGUUAAUCGGAAUUACUGGGCGUAAAGCGCGCGUAGGCGGCUUGUUAAGUCAGAUGUGAAAUCCCCGGGCUCAACCUGGGAAUUGCCUCUGAUACUGGCGAGCUGGAGUACGGGAGAGGAGAGUAGAAUUCCAGGUGUAGCGGUGAAAUGCGUAGAUAUCUGGAGGAAUACCGGUGGCGAAGGCGGCUCUCUGGCCCGAUACUGACGCUGAGGUGCGAAAGCGUGGGGAGCAAAC
This 423-nucleotide ribosomal RNA is filed under the name uncultured bacterium. RNAcentral's name for it is "bacterial SSU rRNA". It matches the Rfam family "Bacterial small subunit ribosomal RNA", at positions 358 to 773 of the family's 1533-position model. The record is from RNAcentral.